Molecule: ribosomal RNA, 1372 nt
Filed under: uncultured bacterium
Lineage: Bacteria
Description: bacterial SSU rRNA
Rfam family: Bacterial small subunit ribosomal RNA
Source: RNAcentral
GAUGAACGCUGGCGGCGUGCCUAAUACAUGCAAGUCGAGCGAACGGACGAGAAGCUUGCUUCUCUGAUGUUAGCGGCGGACGGGUGAGUAACACGUGGAUAACCUACCUAUAAGACUGGGAUAACUUCGGGAAACCGUAGCUAAUACCGGAUAAUAUUUUGAACCGCAUGGUUCAAAAGUGAAAGACGGUCUUGCUGUCACUUAUAGAUGGAUCCGCGCUGCAUUAGCUAGUUGGUAAGGUAACGGCUUACCAAGGCAACGAUGCAUAGCCGACCUGAGAGGGUGAUCGGCCACACUGGAACUGAGACACGGUCCAGACUCCUACGGGAGGCAGCAGUAGGGAAUCUUCCGCAAUGGGCGAAAGCCUGACGGAGCAACGCCGCGUGAGUGAUGAAGGUCUUCGGAUCGUAAAACUCUGUUAUUAGGGAAGAACAUAUGUGUAAGUAACUGUGCACAUCUUGACGGUACCUAAUCAGAAAGCCACGGCUAACUACGUGCCAGCAGCCGCGGUAAUACGUAGGUGGCAAGCGUUAUCCGGAAUUAUUGGGCGUAAAGCGCGCGUAGGCGGUUUUUUAAGUCUGAUGUGAAAGCCCACGGCUCAACCGUGGAGGGUCAUUGGAAACUGGAAAACUUGAGUGCAGAAGAGGAAAGUGGAAUUCCAUGUGUAGCGGUGAAAUGCGCAGAGAUAUGGAGGAACACCAGUGGCGAAGGCGACUUUCUGGUCUGUAACUGACGCUGAUGUGCGAAAGCGUGGGGAUCAAACAGGAUUAGAUACCCUGGUAGUCCACGCCGUAAACGAUGAGUGCUAAGUGUUAGGGGGUUUCCGCCCCUUAGUGCUGCAGCUAACGCAUUAAGCACUCCGCCUGGGGAGUACGACCGCAAGGUUGAAACUCAAAGGAAUUGACGGGGACCCGCACAAGCGGUGGAGCAUGUGGUUUAAUUCGAAGCAACGCGAAGAACCUUACCAAAUCUUGACAUCCUUUGACAACUCUAGAGAUAGAGCUUUCCCCUUCGGGGGACAAAGUGACAGGUGGUGCAUGGUUGUCGUCAGCUCGUGUCGUGAGAUGUUGGGUUAAGUCCCGCAACGAGCGCAACCCUUAAGCUUAGUUGCCAUCAUUAAGUUGGGCACUCUAAGUUGACUGCCGGUGACAAACCGGAGGAAGGUGGGGAUGACGUCAAAUCAUCAUGCCCCUUAUGAUUUGGGCUACACACGUGCUACAAUGGACAAUACAAAGGGCAGCGAAACCGCGAGGUCAAGCAAAUCCCAUAAAGUUGUUCUCAGUUCGGAUUGUAGUCUGCAACUCGACUACAUGAAGCUGGAAUCGCUAGUAAUCGUAGAUCAGCAUGCUACGGUGAAUACGUUCCCGGGUCU